GGAAGAUUGCUUGAGCCCAGGAGUUGAAGGCUACAGUGAGCUAUAAUCAUGCCACUGCACUCCAGCCUGAGUGACAGAGUUAGACCCUGUCUC
This 93-nucleotide microRNA precursor is filed under the name Microcebus murinus (gray mouse lemur). RNAcentral describes it as "miRNA (ENSMICG00000047991.1)". Lineage: Eukaryota; Metazoa; Chordata; Mammalia; Primates; Cheirogaleidae. The record is from RNAcentral.